UACGGGGGGAGCAAGCGUUGUUCGGAUUUACUGGGCGUAAAGGGCGCGUAGGCGGCCACCGCAAGUCGACUGUGAAAUCUCCGGGCUUAACCCGGAAAGGUCAACUGAUACUGCGGGGCUAGAGUGCAGAAGGGGCAACUGGAAUUCUCGGUGUAGCGGUGAAAUGCGUAGAUAUCGAGAGGAACACCUGCGGCGAAGGCGGGUUGCUGGGCUGACACUGACGCUGAGGCGCGAAAGCCAGGGGAGCGAACGGG
Molecule: ribosomal RNA, 254 nt
Filed under: uncultured bacterium
Lineage: Bacteria
Description: partial 16S ribosomal RNA
Rfam family: Bacterial small subunit ribosomal RNA
Source: RNAcentral